This 307-nucleotide unclassified non-coding RNA is filed under the name Hevea brasiliensis (rubber tree). Lineage: Eukaryota; Viridiplantae; Streptophyta; Magnoliopsida; Malpighiales; Euphorbiaceae. The record is from RNAcentral.
UGGGAUAAAAGCUUAGUUGAGUUGGGUUGAGUUGGCAACAUAGAUGAACAAUUGGCUAGAUUCAAUUAGAAGAUGAGGAUUAUGAAACAUAACUCUUCUCAAGCCAUAAUCUAAUCCAUUAGUAGCGAAAAUUAUAGAUAGAAAACAAAACUGAUAAGCAAUUUAACGGUCAAACUUAAACAUACUAGAGACAGUUAGUGAUCAAAUACCUGAUUCGGACAACCUUAAAUCAGGUUCAUAAAUUUAAUUUCAUAAUCAUUGUAUAGAAUACACAUUUCCGAGGGUUUAACCCAAAAUCGUUUAGAGU